AGACAAUGUAAGCAUUUAGGGAAGGUCCAGCAGGCCUCGGGAACACGCUCUUUUCUUCUGGCUCCCAGUGAGGAGCUCUAGCUCCUCCCACUUAGAAAAGACCAAAAGCCAGAGUCUGUUAAGGCUUCUUAAGGGGCAUUCUGGACGAGGAGCAGUGAGAUAUCAGAUGGUACUCUUUCUACUCUGUGAGCAUGCUGAGCCAUGGGGAAGCUCCAGGUACAAAACUAGGAUGUGAGCCCCCUCCAUAUUUCUUUUGGCAGAUUCUGAAGACUUAGGCUCGGCACUCUCAGAAGGUCCAGGUAAAACUACAAGGUGUACGAGUGGAGGGAACACUCCUUAGGAUGCCUCAGGUCCAGUGGUCAGUGGAAAGGCAAGGAACCCCUAACCUCCUGCUCUCAUUUGAGCAGUGAAGGCCCAGUGUAAGAACCACUAUGACCUACUGCAUGAAAGAAUUGGGCCAUGCAGUCAUGGGAAAGAUGAUGGCCGAGGGAGGAAGAAUUCCGCAGUCUGAAGAAUCUUCACCCUGAUGACUGUGUUCUCUCUACUCUUAUAUUAUGAACUCAGCAUGCAUGUAUCAGUGUUUUGGGGCUGGAGCUGUUGUGGUUUUCUUGUUCUCUUAUGAACCAUACUGUUUGCAGAACCCUGUUCUGUUUAUUACCUUCUCAAUUUUAGAAUCUGAAGACCAGUUCCUGUGGAGGAGCUGGAUUCAGGUGACUGGAAGAUGAGUCUUAGGUCCAACCCUUUGUGGGAUGGUGAAAGUCACAGGUGAGAUAAGGACCAGAGCUCAGGGUGGCUCAUUCCUUUAUCUCUCCUUGCUCUCACAUACCCUGUAUCCUCUUUCAUGAUGCUCCUUCCCCGAUGGGGGAAGUAACCUCAUGGGAGGAAUUGAAUUGAGCUUAAAGUGAGAAGAGUGUUGAGAGAACUGUCAUUGUGCCCAGUCUUGUGAUCUCUGUUCAAAUGCUCCCAGCCUCACCAUUCCAGGGAUGCUCUGUUCUCCCCUUUUAAGCUUGUAUUUUCUCUGAAGCUUGCAGCAGUUAGGUGCCCUUGAUGUAUACCAGUAGCCUCUCCGAGCAGCAGGCCCUGGCUUGAUACAUAUAAUACAUGCUACCAUCCUCCUGUCUGGAGGCCCUGAGCCUUGUGCACAGAGCAGUGACUGGAGCCCAGCAAUUCAUCACUCCAGGAGUUCAAAAUCAACUUUGUUAGGUGCCAGGACAGAUGUUAGGCUGUACAUGUACUCAGAGGGUAUGGUUUGACAGAUUUUGACAUGUCAUGGGUGACAUUACCACUGUGAAGAUAAUUAACAGACCAAUUACCCACAUAUACUUUCUUCCUGACCCCUAUCUGCCUCUGUCUUGCAGUGUGAACUGAGGUACAGAAAACCCUGGAAGUUCUGUGAAUUGGCAUCACUUCCUUUGUAUGUAUCUGGCAGAAUUCAUCAGUGGAGUUAUUCUCAUGAGAGGUCCUGUACUUAAAGUUCAGGCAUUCUAGGGUCACCUGCUUCUUCUAAGAUGUGAUUUGAUAGUUGGUAUCUUUUAGUUUUAUUGGUAGAAUUUGUUUUAAGACUUCUCCAUGUCUGCUGGAUGUCAGAAGAGUCCACAAUGGGACCACUUCUCUCCUUUCUGAUAUAGGCAUUUAUACUCUACCCUCCUGGUCUGGAUAGAUGUUUACUAACUUAAAAAAAAACUUAAAAGAAUUAGGCUUGGGUGGCAUUGUUUUUGCUUCUUUUUUCCAUCCUUGUAUCAUUUUUGUUUGUUUCUUGGUGUGCUGGUUACUUCUUGUCAAAUUGACACAAACUUAGGAAGAGGAAAUAUCAAUUGAGGAAUGGUGUCUCCAUCAGAUUGGCAUUUGGCAAGUCUAUGGAGACAUUUUCAUUAUUAAUGAUUAACACUGGAGGGCCUAGCCCAGGAACUACCUGAGCAGGUGUUCCUGGGUUGUAUAGGGGAAAGGCAAGCUGUUGGAGCCAUUGGAGAGCAAGGCAGUAAAAAGCAUUCCUCCAUGGUCUCUGCUUUAGUUCUUGUCUCUAGGUUCCUGCCUUGAGUUCCUUCCUCUAGGAUAGUCUAUAAAGUGCAAACUGAAACAAGCCCUUUCCUCCUGAAGUUGCUUUGGGUGUUUAUCUUAGUGAUAGAAAAGCAAACUAAGACAUUCUGCUUGCUUUGGCUUCAUUUGCUCUUAUUUUUUCAGCUCUAUGAAUUAAAAUGAAACUUCCUGAGGUAGAAGCUAAGGUUAUUUUAGAUGUCCUUUCUAAAUGUAGACAUUUUCAUGCUAUGGCUUUUCCUCUAAUAGGGCUUUAAGCUGCAAACACUGAUACUCUUACUUCUCUUAAUGCUUUUCUCUCCUUUUUAUUGUUUUCAUUUUUAUUAAUUAAAAUACUUCCACUUUAAAAAUCUGUGAAUGGCUUAGAAUUCUCUCAAAUUAAAAUUCUCAAAUAUCCAUUUCCCUGAUGUUUUAUGGCAUUGAUUUUUAGUUCAAUUUUUUUUGAUAACUAGAGGCUAGAGUUGGUUUGACUUGUAGCUUUAAAAUUUAUUAAAAAUAUAUGAUUGGACCACAAUGCUAUAAGGCAAGAAUCUACAUAGUAGGGAAGGACAUGUGUCUGUGACUGCUGUUUUCUUUAAUGUCUUUUCAGUGUUUCUAGAAUACACAUUGAGCUUAGCACAGUCUGUCUUCAAGUAAACUGGCAUACAAUUCAUUAUGGUAAAAGAAACAUGCCAGUGUAGUUCCAUUUCUCCCAUGGGGCAUAUACUGUUGUUGCACAUUUUACUUGUCCAUGUUAUAUAGAACUUGUAUCUGCUAUAUAUAGAAUGCAUAUUUACCUUAAACAGGCAUUUGCUUGUCCAAGAUAUUUAAAUAAUAGUGACAAUCUUUUGGUUGUUCUGUUCUGAUGUUCUUGACCUUGGGUUGAACUUCCAUUUGAUGUGUGGGUCCAGGCUUAGUGGGGAUUUCAUGGGGGCUGGGAGACAGUAUUGUGGAAACUUCUACUGUUGGGAGGAGAACUUGAGGUGCUACCUGCUCCUGCUUCUUUCUCACCUGAGAUUUCUUAUCCUGGAGUUUUCCUGGGUUCCCAUUAUUUCAGAGACACUUGUCUGGAGCAGUUACACACUGCAGGUGGUUGCUUUGGUCAUGAGAUGCAGAUGCCUUCCAAGGUCCCUCUGAUUCCAGGGGUUAGGAGCCAUGCCUUCCAGAACAGGUAUAGAACAUGAUUCUUCUGGGGUCAGUCAGAAAUGGGUGCGUUUUCUUUAGUAAAAUCAUGGUGAUGGCUGGGCUUUGGUGGCACACACCUUUAAUCCCGGUGCUUGGGAGGCAGAGGCAGGCGGAUCUUUGUGAGUUCGAGGCCAGCCUGAUCUACAGAGUGAGUUCUGGGACAGGUUCCAAAGCAAUACAGAGAAACUGUCUCGAAAAAAAAAUCAUAGUGAUGAGGCAGUUUCUUUGAGAUAUUAGUCACCAGCAACAAAACUCUCUCAGAAAAGGGCACUUAUUGGCUAGCAUCUCAACACUAAUGUAGUUACCACUGGACUUUAUUAAUCUCUCAGUAAGCUUCAAUUCAGCACAUUACAGUACUUUUUGAAAUAGUUCUGGGGCUGCCUAACAAAGUAUUAAACCUGAGUAGUUUCAAUGGUCCUCAGAUCUGGAGGCCAGUGUGGGAUUCUAAGCUUCUCAGGGUAGUGAUAUGUCUGCUUGAAGGAGCUGGUGAUGGCCCUGGGGAGCCUCUAUGCCUCUCGUCACUUUUCUGCUGGCAUUCUGGAUACACUGGGCUCACUGCCUUACAGCAAUCACAUGGAUCCAUCUUCUAGUGUUUUCUAUCAUCUUUCCCCGUGUCUCUAGGUUCACAAUGCCCCCCACUCCAAUCCUUUUAUAAGGAUAUUAGUUAUUUUGGCUUAAGGUCCACACCAGUGACCUAACUUUAAUUUGAUUGAAUCUGAAAUUACCCCAUUUCCAAGUGAGAUAUCAUUCUCAGACCCCAUAAGGGUGUUUAUUUAUUAAGACUCAUAUGACAUAGCUGCUGCCUGUCCAGCCUAGGCCCUGUGGUGUGUGUCCAUAAUAAAGAAUAGUUUAACAGUUGAAACACUUGUGCUUGCUUUCUGUGGUACUUUAAAUAUUUGUGUUAAAAUUGUAGAUCAGAAAUAAAUAAUUACAGUAAUAUGAGUAGAACUAUGAAGGAAAUAUUUGUUAUAUUGAUUUUCUGACAUAUUCUUAGAGUUUUAUGUAUUUAAAACAACAAAACUGUGUGUCUGCUUUCUGUAAAUAUAUCAAACACAUGAUAUAUUCACUGUAAGGAGAAAAAGAUUUAUUUGCCUCAAUGUUUUUAGAGGUUUAAUCCAUGAUCAGCAGCAGACUUGGGCCUAUGGCAAGGCAGCACAUCAUGGGAGGACCACGUGCAGGGGCAAAGCCCUUACCUCAUCAAACAGGCAACAAAAAGUUACCCAAGACUUCCCGCUAGACACCUUAAAGACUCCAUUCUUCACGGAGAGUGCAGGCUAAGGAGUCUCAGUGGGUGAGAAGGAAGUGAGGGGGGCACCUCCUCAAGUUUCUGAUUCUCCUCAUAAUAGCAGGUUUCCAUAGUACCAGCUCCCAGCCUGGUGAUAGAGACACUUAGUCUAGACCCAUCUUUCUCCCAAUAGUGC
Molecule: long non-coding RNA, 4619 nt
Filed under: Cricetulus griseus (Chinese hamster)
Lineage: Eukaryota; Metazoa; Chordata; Mammalia; Rodentia; Cricetidae
Description: lncRNA (ENSCGRG00015033612.1)
Source: RNAcentral